CCUACGGUGGCAGCAGUAGGGAAUUUUCGUCAAUGGGCGCAAGCCUGAACGAGCAAUGCCGCGUGAACGAGGAAGGUCUUCGGAUCGUAAAGUUCUGUUGAAGGGGAAAAAGAGCGGAGAGAGGAAAUGCUUUCUGAUUGAUAUUACCCUUCGAGGAAGUCACGGCUAACUACGUGCCAGCAGCCGCGGUAAUACGUAGGUGGCGAGCGUUAUCCGGAAUGAUUGGGCGUAAAGGGUGCGUAGGCGGCCUGCUAAGUCUGGAGUGAAAGGUACCGGCUCAACCGGUACAGGCUCUGGAAACUGGCGGGCUAGAGAGCAGGAGAGGGCGGUGGAACUCCAUGUGUAGCGGUGAAAUGCGUAGAUAUUAGGAGGAACACCGGUGGCGAAGGCGGCCUGCUGGACUGUGACUGACGUUGAGGCCCGAAGGCGUGGGGAGCAAACAGGAUUAGAUACCCUUGUAGUC
Molecule: ribosomal RNA, 463 nt
Filed under: uncultured bacterium
Lineage: Bacteria
Description: partial 16S ribosomal RNA
Rfam family: Bacterial small subunit ribosomal RNA
Source: RNAcentral